Molecule: ribosomal RNA, 294 nt
Filed under: uncultured bacterium
Lineage: Bacteria
Description: partial 16S ribosomal RNA
Rfam family: Bacterial small subunit ribosomal RNA
Source: RNAcentral
ACUCCUACGGGAGGCAGCAGUAAGGAAUAUUGCGCAAUGGGCGAAAGCCUGACGCAGCGACGCCGCGUGGGGAUGAAGGUCUUCGGAUUGUAAACCCUUUCGGCAGGGAAGAUGGGGCGGGCAACCGCUCGGACGGUACCUGCAGAAGCAGCCACAGGCUAACUUCGUGCCAGGCAGCCGCGUAAUACGAAGGUGGCAAGCGUUGUUCGGAUUUUACUGGGCGUACAGGGAGCGUAGGCGGUUAGGUAAGCCCUUCGUGAAAUCUCCGGGCCUAACCCGGAAAGUGCGGGGGGA